UACGUAGGGGGCAAGCGUUAUCCGGAUUUACUGGGUUUAAAGGGUGCGUAGGUGGGUAGGUAAGUCAGUGGUGAAAUCUUCGAGCUUAACUCGGAAACUGCCAUUGAUACUAUUUAUCUUGAAUACUCUGGAGGUAAGCGGAAUAUGUCAUGUAGCGGUGAAAUGCUUAGAUAUGACAUAGAACACCAAUUGCGAAGGCAGCUUACUACAUAGUUAUUGACACUGAGGCACGAAAGCGUGGGGAUCAAACAGG
RNAcentral lists this ribosomal RNA (253 nucleotides) under uncultured bacterium. Its description in RNAcentral is "partial 16S ribosomal RNA". It matches the Rfam family "Bacterial small subunit ribosomal RNA", at positions 524 to 776 of the family's 1533-position model. The record is from RNAcentral.